This is a long non-coding RNA of Ostrea edulis (European flat oyster), 2974 nucleotides long. RefSeq lists it as uncharacterized. The record is from RefSeq and is a predicted model, not a curated record. NCBI's taxonomy places the organism in Eukaryota, Metazoa, Mollusca, Bivalvia, Ostreida, Ostreidae. The transcript has 2 exons.
UAUUGUGCAAUAGGUGAGAUGCCUGUUAUGCAGUACCCAACUGGUUCUUAAGUAUAAACCUUUUUCCCUGGUUUUAGUAUUGACCUAAACAUGUUCAUUUACGUGGAAAACACACAUGCAUAUCUACUCACAAAAACAAUGAUUAAAAGGAAUCCACAAGACUUUGUUUUCCCCCUGGAACCACCCCAAAAGACUACGAGACUGUCUGACGUGUUUCAUACCGAUUGUUAAGCCGUUCUUGGCAUACUGAUUUUGACUGCGGAUAACUCCGUUUACCUGAUCAGGAUAUGGGGCUCACGGCGGGUGUGACCGGUCAACAGGGGAUGCUUACUCCUCCUAGGCACCUGAUCCCACCUCUGGUGUGUCCAGGGGUCCGUGUUUGCCCAACUAUCUAAUUUGUAUUGCUUGUAGGAGUUAUGAGAUUGAUCACUGUUCGUUAUCUUCACCUUGCACUUUGUUUUUUCUCUGGAACCACCCCAAAAGUUACAAUCUCCGCACGGUAUGUAACAAUUUAUGACAUACUGUUGCCAUCCGUAGCAACGUAUGUGACAAUUUGUAACAAAGCGUGGUACGAAUGGCCACGCUAUGUAACAAAAAAUAAUACCGUGUCGUAUCAACGCAAGAGCUUAUUCUGCGUAUGAUAACUUUCAAGUGGAAGCAGGCACCUAAUCCCAUCUCUGGUAUAUCCAGGGAUUCGUUUUUGCCCAAUUCUCUAUUUUGUAUUGCUUGUUGGAGUUCUGAAAUUUGUUCAGUGUUCGUUAUCUUCACCUUUCACGUAGUUCUAAAACUUAGAAAUGAGGAUAACCUCAUAUUUUCAGUAAGCAACAAUUCAUGUCAAAAACUAUACCGUAUAUAACAUUUCCCCGUGACUACUAUCUUCGUUAAAGGUUGAUGUGUUGUUUAUACUGUAUACGAGGCAGUUUGGGACAAUAAAUGUUUGUAACGAACAAAACUUGCAAAUGUCGAGGUCCAGGACAAAGAAUUUUCCUGAAAUAUAUUUUCACUUUUGAUUUGAUGAUGAUAUUUAGGAAUGUCUGUCGAUCGACAAAUAAAGAUAUUGAAAUAAAUCGCCAUACAUUUCAAAUAUUGGAAUAAUUGGAAUAAUUCGUAUGAUUGCAGAAUUUACACAUCAAUACUGAGAAAGAAUAACACUGAUUCCGCGAUUUCAUAACUGAAUCAGGUUUCUUAAACUUUUGGUAAAUUUAUGUUACUUUGGUUUCAAAAGUCCCGUUUAGAGUCAGCAUAUCGUAAAAUCAAUGGUUCUUAAAAUGAUAUAACUUGUAAAUACAACCUAGCUUGACCUCAAAUGAUGUUUGGCGUGUUUCAUAACAAUUGCUGUGCUGUGCAGUUAUUUAGGGAGAUAUUUAAUUGGGCCAAAGUGAAGACCCUUGGCAAUUCUGGAAGUAUGUAUAUGGUAUUUAGCUAUGAUAUUGAUGUUGCAUAUAUAGGGACGAGAAUUUGAAGGACAAAGGAACAUCAAUAUAUUUCGAUUGACACAAUCACUAGUAUAUGCUAUCAAUAUAUUUUAAUUUGUUUUCAUGUCUCUUUUUGUGGGUUUUGUCACCUUAUAUCACGUCUUCUGCCUCAGAAUUAAGUGGCGGUUAUUUUUUUCCAUUCAUCUCACACAAUACUACGUAGUACAUGGUGUAUCUAUUUAUACUCUCAUAACUUCAGAAUAUGUGUCCAAGUCUAUAGAACACAGUAACUAUUGUCAACUUCAUUCUUGACAACUUUGGUUUCAAUUAGUCAUUCGUAAUAAUUCAAGAUUAUACCUCGAUUUCUCCAAAUUUCAAGACGUCUUUGCCUGUAAUAAACUCUUCUUUCACGAAUACUUCAAGCAAACGACAAACUUCACAGGGUUAGUUUUAGUCACGAAAUAUUAAUCCAUGUGGUCAAACUAUGGAAAUGUGAUUCAUUUUAAACAUAGAAUAAAACAGUUCUGUUAUAUUUCUAUUUUACUCUAACUAUAGUGGUAUUUGCAUGCAUCUACUAAUAUGGAUUGAUCAAGUAACUGCCAUGACGCAACAGCUCAUUAUGACGUCAUUUCCAUACCAAUUUGUUUUGUAACUUUAACUAUAAUGUGCACUGUAUUUCUAAUUAUUGAUGUACGAUAUAUUUUAUUUUAUAUCAAUUUUGAUUGAUAUCGAUUAAAUGUUAGAAGAUGUUGAUGUUUUUGUUACGUUCUGAACACGUGUAUUAUGCCAUCUAAACUGCAUUAUAUUGCACUAGCAUUAUAGUGAUUCUCGACUAAUGGCAUAUUUGAUUUUAACAUCUUUGUUCGUAAUAAGUUAAAAACAUGGAAGUCGAUGUAGUAUUUUGAUACACGUUUAAACAAUUUCAGCCCUGGUGGGAAAGUAUGCUGUAGUGGAUAUAUUUGGAAUGAAGCACAAAAUACCUGUACACGUCUGUAUGUAUUAGCAUCCAAGUUAAUACAUACUAGUAAGUUUAUAAUGGAUAUUACAUUCAAUAUAUUUGUAUACUACUCAUAGAUAACACGUUUCUAAAUGAAAUCAUAUUCAAACAUCAUGGAUACCGAUGGGAUGCUUGAAGGUAAAUUGCAAUGUCAUUUACCGUUUUUGAUUAUUUUCUUUGGUUUUUGUCGGUUGCACGGAUGGAUUUUAUGGUUGAACCAUGUCCAUACCCAACGUUCGGAUGGAAGUGUCAAUUAGAAUGCAUCUGCAGUAGCGAAGACUGUCACCACACGUAUGGGUGCAGGAGAACUCCAUCAAAAUGUGCGACUGGAAAGUACGGCAAAUACUGUGAGUUAUCUUGUCGUCACCCAAACUACGGAAAUGAAUGUCAGUUGGUGUGCCAUUGUGAUGAAGUGGUCUGCGAUGCUAUAAGUGGAUGUACGGGUUUAUUGUAUAGUGAUUCUCAUAGUGUGCUUAACAUGUGUUUAACAUAGAACUUCUAUCAUAUAAGGAGCAUUUAUCAUUAAAUGUCUUGUAAAUGAUUAAAAUAAACUAGAUUUCUC